UUGAACUCAAUUGAACAUGGACACAAACAAUGGUCACUAAGUCCUGAAACAGGUUGAGUGAGCCCCUUGAGGCAUUCAUCCAUCGCUGUUUCAGAGAAAUCUCUAUUUCAAUCUAUUCUUACACGUUAGUUAUUAAAAAACAAUAGACAAUCGCAAAAACAAGUUGUGACCUUUUUGUGUUCCUUAAGCCCAGUCACGAAGGGCACUCGUGACUGGGUCUCAUGCCAAACAACUUGUUACGAAAACAGCUAGAGUCCCAGACUGCACCGAAACUUCAUGAGACCUUCCCUCGCUGUGCACGGACAAGUGUCUGACUCUGGAGCCCAGGCUGUUGCUUCCCGGUCUGGUGAUGAAUCCUCCAUAGUUUGAUGAAGGAACAGAAUGAAAGUCCCACAGUUGAGAGCCAAGAACAGGACCUGGGGGGUACACUGAUUCCUAGUACACAGUUGACUACAGAACAACAACAACAACAACAAAAUAAACCAAGUACAAUGGGAAAAACUGAAGAAAAUAGUUAAGUGGGACAAAGGCAACAAAGUAGGCAGAAUCACAAGAAGAAAGAAGACCAAGGGAAAAUUUCAAGAACAUUUUUUAAAGUAAGAAAGCAUGGAAGAAAUGACUGAAUAUUAUAAAUAUAGGAUGGUCCCUGUUUUGCUGGAAUAGCAGUCUGAAACCAUCAUUUAUCUUGGUCUGGGUGGAGCUGAGGUCUGGGAAUUCCCAUAUAAGGUAGUUUGUUCAUGCUUACUUCCUCAAGCACACAUUACACCUCCUCAUCUGAAAAAGGCACUGGAAGAAAAGAUUCUUUGGGAAUGACAUCCACACAUACAUUAAAGGCUGUGGUUUCCACUCCUAAUGGUUAGUAGAUUUGCCAAGACACAGCAUCCUCGCAACCCCCACCCAAAUACGGUUCAGCAUCUAGCAGUCAACACCACAGGGCCUUCCUGUGGUCACGACUGGCAGUGGUGAUAAAGGUCGGUAUGACCUUACUGCUCUCCAUAAAUAGCCCUUCAGUCAGUAAUGUCCUUGCAUGAUAUGGUCACAUUCUUUCAAGAGCAGCCCUGCUUUUAUGUAUGGUACCUUCCUUCCACAGAGCUUUCCAUCUCAGGUGAAGCUGCUUUCUUGCCCCACCAUAAUUCCUCUCAAUGACUUCAAAGCAGGGCCUCUACAUUCGAUUUUUUUUUAGGAUGAGUCUGUCUACCUUUUUUUUAGAGCUAUGCUGUCUACUUUGGUAGCCAGUAGUCACAUGUAGCAACUUGAAAUGUGGCUAGUCUGAAUUCAGAUGGACUUUAAAGUACCCACUGAAUUCUCCUGGUAACUUUAAAAUGCUGAUGACAUGAUAUGUAUAUAGCUUGGACAUGAUGACAGUUUGAUAUACUGGGUUAAAUUAAACAUAUUAUUAAAAUUAA
Molecule: long non-coding RNA, 1406 nt
Filed under: Homo sapiens (human)
Lineage: Eukaryota; Metazoa; Chordata; Mammalia; Primates; Hominidae
Description: HSALNT0304884
Source: RNAcentral